This 463-nucleotide unclassified non-coding RNA is filed under the name Hevea brasiliensis (rubber tree). The record is from RNAcentral. Lineage: Eukaryota; Viridiplantae; Streptophyta; Magnoliopsida; Malpighiales; Euphorbiaceae.
UUUCCUGACUUGGACUUCAACCUGUAAGAAACAAAAUAACAGUUCCCACAAACGCAUCAACAUUCCAGAAGGAAUUCGCAAGAUAAUGAAUAUUAGUAACUAAUGAUAAGUUUAAGGCCUCCCAGAAUUUAAUCCAGCUAAAAGGCUUUCUUUUAUAGCAUUUUACAGACUCUAGUACUCCCUUUUUCUUUCCUUCAAAAAUCUUUACAGUAUGCUUGAAUAAAUUCAGCCUCCAAUGUCUAUAACUAACUAAUCUCUCUAGGCCUACAAUUCUUUUUUUUUUAAUUAUUGGCUCACAAAAUAGCAUGCAUGAACAACCACCAAUGCACUCAUCUGUAAAUACAAAAACUUCCGAGAGAUGGGCUCGUGAGACUCGCCAGAUCAGAAAGUUGAUGCCCAAAACAAAUGAGACUCGACAGAUCAGAUAGUUGAUGCCCAGAUUUGAAAGACGUCGACGUAGCUU